Molecule: ribosomal RNA, 301 nt
Filed under: uncultured bacterium
Lineage: Bacteria
Description: partial 16S ribosomal RNA
Rfam family: Bacterial small subunit ribosomal RNA
Source: RNAcentral
CAGUCGCCGCGGUAAUACGUAGGCAGCAAGCGUUGUCCGGAAUUAUUGGGCGUAAAGGGCUCGCAGGCGGUUUCUUAAGUCUGAUGUGAAAGCCCCCGGCUCAACCGGGGAGGGUCAUUGGAAACUGGGAAACUUGAGUGCAGAAGAGGAGAGUGGAAUUCCACGUGUAGCGGUGAAAUGCGUAGAGAUGUGGAGGAACACCAGUGGCGAAGGCGACUCUCUGGUCUGUAACUGACGCUGAGGAGCGAAAGCGUGGGGAGCGAACAGGAUUAGAUACCCCUGUAGUCCCUGUCUCUUAUAC